Molecule: long non-coding RNA, 1796 nt
Organism: Panicum virgatum (switchgrass)
Lineage: Eukaryota; Viridiplantae; Streptophyta; Magnoliopsida; Poales; Poaceae
Exons: 2
Source: RefSeq, a predicted model, not a curated record
AUCCUCCCUCUUUCCCGCUUCUCGGCCUCGCGCGAAUCGAAAUGCCACGACCCCAGUGUGUCAUAAUCGAGGUCUCCGCCCGCGCGUUUCGCUUGCUUUUGGGGGGCUGAUGUGCUCUGUUUUUUGUGGAUUCAUCGGCUUGCGAUCAGAGUGAUUCCCAUUUCCUGGAUUCAGGUGAGGGUGUUGAGCGUGAGACUACUUUAGUGGGCUGGAAGUGUAGGUUCGUAAAUCUGAGGGGUCGUCUCCCCAUUCUCAUCGAUUGAUUGUGCUAUGUAGGUAGCCAAUGCCUUAGUAUUUCCUGCUACAAUAGUUUUGGGGCCGAAAUUUCUCUACUGUCUUGACUUCAUUUUCAGAGGUUCAGUGGUAGACUGGCAGUGGACUAGGAACAGUGCAAAACGGAGUCAUGUUCUAUCUGCUUGUUUGCUGUAGAAAUAAUAUUUGAUUUAUUGGAUAAGUUGGAUAUGAUUCUUUCUUGAUCCCACUGAACUGUAGCUUGGAUUGGCUGAAAUCCACACUGCUUUUCUUGGAUCGAUUAAUUGAUAGGACUGCUGAAGGAUAUGACUCAUGAGUAUUUUUUUUCUCCUCAUACAUGGGGAUUACUUGUGCUUCAAAGUCCAUCUAUCCUACACAAUUGACCUCAUCAUCUCAUCUGGGAAUUCUUCUGCACCUUUCAAGAAAAAGCUGUAGCCUACUAGAGUUGUCAGCUUGAGCACGGGAGAUUUUCAGUUCCUUAAUUCCUAUAGGAAUUAAACAUUUCAAUGUGAAAUUCCCAUGUUCCAAACGGAGCCUAAGUUUAACUAUUGCUUUUGCUCUGAAGAUCCUUGUCGCAUAUUUAGUCCUGUUGUGUCUAAAUAUUUGUUUAAGCAGCAAAUCCAUUUUUUGUACGCAGCAAUCCAAUUAUCACUUUCUGGCUAUAAUUGCGUCAAACUUCAUUUAUAAUUGUCUAACCACAAACAAUAUAAUUGCUUUUCUUGUUUUUACAUAAGCAUACCAGACAUGGCCUUUUUUAGCUGCAUGAAUAUAUUUCAUUCCAAGUAGGGAGUUAUUUUUUAUCUUCUACUUAGCACUAAAUCCUGCUAGUAGUUGCUAUUAGUAGUUUUUUAUACAUAGCUCCAACAAAGUGGAUCACGGUUCCUCUACGCUUGAUUGGAUUUGUGUGUUGUAGUCUCGCAGAAUAAUAAGCAAGCCUCAUCUUAAGUAGCGAUCCAUUUGUAUGCAGCAAUUAAGUGGUCAGUUUUUGGCUAUAAUUGCGUCAAAAUUCAUUUAUAAUUGCCGAAGCACAGACAAUAUAACUGCCUUGUUUUUACAUAAGCAGGCCAGACAUGGGUUCAUAUGUCAUUUAAAGUUGAUGCUUCAUCAAUAAGGUUGAACUUCUGCUAGGAAACUAUCACACUCCGUAAUUAUUUCAACAGCUCAACAAACUUAUUAGCAAAUGAUACUGAGUUUCAUUGUCUUGUUUUGUCCUCACAUUUGCAUAUUUGGAAUUUUUUAGGAUCAUCAAUAAGGUAAUGUAGUCGAUUAAGCACAACCAUUCAGGGACCUUGCCGACUUGAACAUGCUUACACAAAUAUGAUGAUGGAGCCAGUCCAAGCUUUUUUUGCUUCUAGAGGAUGUGGUCUGAGCACUGGAUUUUAUUGUGUGAUGUUUAGUGAAACUGCUUUUGUAUAUGUUGUAAUUUGCUUAUAGUUAUUCAAAACUUUGCUUAUAUGUAACUGCUAAGUUGAAUUGCCUGUAUUAAAAAGAUAAAACCUCCAGAAGCAAGAAGGAAGUGGCGUGGGUUUGAAUCUGCGUGGUCA